UGGCCCACAUGUUAGUGCCACAAC
RNAcentral lists this microRNA (24 nucleotides) under Oryza sativa (Asian cultivated rice). RNAcentral's name for it is "osa-miR1847.2". The record is from miRBase by way of RNAcentral. Lineage: Eukaryota; Viridiplantae; Streptophyta; Magnoliopsida; Poales; Poaceae.